UCCCUGGAAGUCUAUUGGUGAGGCCACAGUGCUCUUACCGCUGCAGCCAGGGUUCGAUUCCCGGCCAGGGAA
Non-coding RNA from Pangasianodon gigas (Mekong giant catfish), 72 nucleotides. The record is from the annotation of a GenBank genome assembly. Lineage: Eukaryota; Metazoa; Chordata; Actinopteri; Siluriformes; Pangasiidae.